Molecule: long non-coding RNA, 1827 nt
Filed under: Gadus morhua (Atlantic cod)
Lineage: Eukaryota; Metazoa; Chordata; Actinopteri; Gadiformes; Gadidae
Description: lncRNA (ENSGMOG00000034283.1)
Source: RNAcentral
AUGGGAAUGUUAAAAAAUUCAAAGAUACUCGGGCGGCGCUCAAAAGCUCAUGAAGCUGAGCAAACGGAAUAUCUACAGAGUAAAAUCAACCACAUCAGAACCACGGCUAGCAACAAAAAGGCUGCUAAAGCAUGGAAGACAGUCAACGAAAUCAGCGGAAGGAAAAAGAACACCCGAGGCAAACUGAAGGCCUCAAGCCAGGAACAGCGGCUACAGCUUUGGCAACAACACUUCCAAGACCUACUCGGUAAACCACCUCAAAACUCCAACGAGCAAGUGACGCCAAUAAUUACGGGCGAGCUCAAAAUAAAGAAAGGUCCUUUCACAAUGGAAGAACUCAAGUUGGCAAUCAACCGCAUACAAAAUGGUAAAGCCUGUGGACUCGACGAAAUACCAGCAGAAGUAUGGAAGUUAGAAGAAUUCCAUCACACCCUACUAGACAUGACGAACAGCGUCUAUAAUCAAGACCCUAUUGCGAGGUGGUCUGAAGGCUGCCUACUCCCCUUCCCAAAAAAGGGUAAUCUUGGGAUCACGACGAACUACAGAGGCAUUACGCUAACAGCAAUCGCGGCAAAAACCUACAACCUGAUGCUACUAAACAGAGUACGCCCAGAGAUUGACCCCAUACUGAGGAAGAAUCAAAAUGGUUUUAGAGCAAACAGAUCUACCUCGGGACAGAUACUGACCAUUCGUAGGAUGUUAGAAGGAGUAAAUGCAAAAAACCUUCCAGCAACUCUUCUGUUUGUCGACUUCUCGAAAGCCUUUGACUCCAUCCACCGUGGAAAAAUGGAGGAGAUCCUUACUGCAUAUGGAAUACCAAAGGAACCAGUAGACGCCAUCAUGAUGCUGUAUAAAAACACUAGGUCUAUGGUGCACUCUCCCGAUGGAGACACGGAUUUCUUUGACAUCACCACCGGAGUCCUACAAGGAGACACCUUGGCCCCCUUCCUAUUCAUCAUCUGCCUGGACUAUGUGCUUAGAAAAGCCCUCGACAAUAACCUGGAACUUGGCUUUACACUCACCGAACGAAGAAGUAGGCGACAUCCAGCUCAAAAGAUCACAGACGCUGACUAUGCCGAUGAUAUUGCAAUACUCACAGAUUACCUUGGAAAUGCAACAUCACUCCUUCAUGGCAUUGAAAAGCUAGCUAAAGAAAUCGGACUCUACGUAAAUGCCGUCAAAACAGAAUUCAUAUGCCUGAAUCAAGAUGCAUCGGCAGGUAUAAGCUGUCUGAGUGGCGAAAAGAUCAAACGGGUGGACGAUUUUAAGUACCUGGGCAGUUACAUCGCAUCGACCAAACGUGAUGUCGACAUCAGACUCGGAAAAGAAUGGGGAUCACUCAAAGGAAUGGAUAAAAUCUGGAAAUCGAACCUCCCAGACAAACUCCAGAGGAACUUCUUCAGGGCAACAGUGGAAUCCGUCCUCACAUAUUGCUCUACCACCUGGACCCCAACAUCUAAACUGGAGAAGAAGAUAGAUGGGGCCUACACCCGUAUGCUCCGUGCAGCUCUAAACAGAUCAUGGCGUGACCAUCCGACGAACAAGGAACUCUAUGCCAACAUCCCACCCAUCAGCCAAUCCAUCAGACUACAGAGACUUCGCUUCGCCAGACAUUGCUGGCGGAAUAAGGAAGAACUGGCGGGAAAAGUGCUACUCUGGUCGCCCUCCCAUGGAAGAAGAUCACAAGGCCGCCCCAAGAGAACCUACCCUGAACAACUGGCAGAUGACGUUGGGUGCCACGCCGAAGAACUCCCCGCCCUAAUGAGCGAUAAGAUGGAGUGGAAGAGGAGAGUGUCGAUGCUUAGCCGAGCUAGCUCGACACAGUAA